This 460-nucleotide ribosomal RNA is filed under the name uncultured bacterium. RNAcentral's name for it is "partial 16S ribosomal RNA". It matches the Rfam family "Bacterial small subunit ribosomal RNA", at positions 338 to 795 of the family's 1533-position model. The record is from RNAcentral.
CCUACGGGAGGCAGCAGUGAGGAAUAUUGGUCAAUGGACGGAAGUCUGAACCAGCCAUGCCGCGUGCAGGAAGACGGCUCUAUGAGUUGUAAACUGCUUUUGUACAAGGGUAAACCUGAAUACGUGUAUUCAGCUGAACGUACUGUACGAAUAAGGAUCGGCUAACUCCGGGCCAGCAGCCGCGGUAAUACGGAGGAUCCAAGCGUUAUCCGGAUUUAUUGGGUUUAAAGGGUGCGUAGGCGGAUGGAUAAGUUAGAGGUGAAAUGUCCGCGCUUAACUCGGGAACUGCCUCUAAUACUGUUGAGCUAGAGAGUAGAGGAGGUAGGUGGAAUGUAUGGUGUAGCGGUGAAAUGCUUAGAGAUCAUACAGAACACCGAUUGCGAAGGCAGCUUACCAAUCUAUAUCUGACGUUGAGGCACGAAAGCGUGGGGAGCAAACAGGAUUAGAUACCCGAGUAGUC